CGAGGUGUAGCGCAGUUGGUAGCGCGCCUGCUUUGGGAGCAGGAUGUCGCAGGUUCAAGUCCUGUCACCUCGA
This 73-nucleotide transfer RNA is filed under the name Caproiciproducens sp. NJN-50. It matches the Rfam family "tRNA". Rfam says of the family: Transfer RNA (tRNA) molecules are approximately 80 nucleotides in length. Their secondary structure includes four short double-helical elements and three loops (D, anti-codon, and T loops). RNAcentral also lists the same sequence under 1 other name. Lineage: Bacteria; Bacillati; Bacillota; Clostridia; Eubacteriales; Acutalibacteraceae. The record is from Rfam by way of RNAcentral.